Molecule: ribosomal RNA, 497 nt
Filed under: uncultured bacterium
Lineage: Bacteria
Description: partial 16S ribosomal RNA
Rfam family: Bacterial small subunit ribosomal RNA
Source: RNAcentral
GAUGAACGCUGGCGGCGUGCCUAAUACAUGCAAGUCGAGCGAACAGACGAGGAGCUUGCUCCUCUGACGUUAGCGGCGGACGGGUGAGUAACACGUGGAUAACCUACCUAUAAGACUGGGAUAACUUCGGGAAACCGGAGCUAAUACCGGAUAAUAUAUUGAACCGCAUGGUUCAAUAGUGAAAGACGGUUUUGCUGUCACUUAUAGAUGGAUCCGCGCCGCAUUAGCUAGUUGGUAAGGCAACGGCUUAUCAAGGCAACGAUGCGUAGCCGACCUGAGAGAGUGAUCGGCCACACUGGAACUGGGACACGGUCCAGACUCCUACGGGAGGCAGCAGUAGGGAAUCUUCCGCAAUGGGCGAAAGCCUGACGGAGCAACGCCGCGUGAGUGAUGAAGGUCUUCGGAUCGUAAAACUCUGUUAUUAGUGAAGAACAAAUGUGGAAGUAACUAUGCACGUCUUGACGGUACCUAAUCAGAAAGCCACGGCUAACUACGUG